This 1106-nucleotide long non-coding RNA is filed under the name Pongo abelii (Sumatran orangutan). Its description in RNAcentral is "lncRNA (ENSPPYG00000034887.1)". Lineage: Eukaryota; Metazoa; Chordata; Mammalia; Primates; Hominidae. The record is from RNAcentral.
AAAAUGGGGGAAUGGAGGCAGGAGACUUUGAGGUAACAUGGUUUCGUGGUGGCAUGAGUCCUCAGAAGGUGUUUGUAAUUAAGGUUCCACACCCAGCUCUCUCAGUUGUUUUUAAAUGAAUGUGUGUGAUGAACAGAUGGGAAAGUUGGGAGAUCUGUCUACAGAGAAGCAAAGUUGUGGUUCUCUUGCUAACUUCAGGGUGAGGGACACCGGGCACACUAAGUUUGGGAACUUGGUUGAUAAAUACGUAUAUGGUCCCUUCCAUAAAUCAGUGGUGAGUGACUGGCCUGGGUUCUAGACCUCUGGGAACCAGCCCCUGAGUCACAGCUGUCUAGGCCUCGGUGCUGGCCUGGGUUCUAGAUCUCCGGGAACCAGUGCCUGAGUCACGGAUGUCAGUACAGCUAUUUGCUCAGGGCUGCUCCCAAGGGGGUGAUGGGAAAUUCGGCAGUGUAGACUCACUUUAAACAAGCUCCAGUGAUCCUGAAACGCUGAAGAUCAUGUAGGGGGGUUGUGGGGUCAGCAGAGCUGCCAUCUGCCCACGUCUGGAAAACAAUACACAGUGAGUCACCGGUUGGCCACGAGAACUCCCCACUUAAAGGUGCUGUGAGCUUGUCUCUAAGAUACAUACCUCUUCCUUUUGUCUUUUGCCGUAAGCUUUGACCUUUUGCAGAUCUGAUGAAAAUACAACUUCUUAUUGUAUAGUUUGCCUUGAUUAUAAGCCGUAGUAAAUCUAGCUGUUCGCGUUUUUGCAGGCCCUGCAUUUUCUACUAGGAGGUUCAUCAAACCUUCCACUUAGCAAUAGCCCUGACUCAGGCAGAAUGCCUCGUAAAUUAGCCUUCAAAAGAAAAGUGCGCGCUCAGACAGUGUGUGGAGGGGCAGGAGCAUGAUGCAGACAAGGACUUAGUCAUGACUGAUUUUCCUUAGCCAGUUUUUUUAACGGCUUAUGGGGAACAUUGUGAUCGUCCUACCUGACGUGUUAGCAGAUGUAGAAUAUGAGGAUCCUCAAGCAUCUCUACCAUAAGUCUAAGGAAUUUAGGUCCCUAUUGUCACUUUGUUUUGGAAUGUUUUUUAUAAAAAUGCAAUUAAAUACCUCACUAUUAAACUGC